AUGUCUCUCUCUGUCUGACUGCUAUGUGUCUCUCUCUGUCUGACUGCUAUGUGUCUCUCUCUGUCUGACUGCUAUGUGUCUCUCUCUGUCUGACUGCUAUGUGUCUCUCUCUGUCUGACUGCUAUGUGUCUCUCUCUGUCUGACUGCUAUGUGUCUGUGUCUUGGAGAAUCUCCCCUAGUUUAUCCUACAAUACUGGACAUGAAUACUAUUUGAAGUGGAGGUUAAGGCUGACACACCAGGAAGACAGUGGAGGUUAAGGCUGACACACCAGGAAGACAGUGGAGGUUAAGGCUGAGACACCAGGAAGACAGUGGAGGUUAAGGCUGAGACACCAGGAAGACAGUGGAGGUUAAGGCUGAGACACCAGGAAGACAGUGGAGGUUAAGGCUGACACACCAGGAAGACAGUGGAGGUUAAGGCUGAGACACCAGGAAGACAGUGGAGGUUAAGGCUGACACACCAGGAAGACAGUGGAGGUUAAGGCUGACACACCAGGAAGACAGUGGAGGUUAAGGCUGAGACACCAGGAAGACAGUGGAGGUUAAGGCUGACACACCAGGAAGACAGUGGAGGUUAAGGCUGAGACACCAGGAAGACAGUGGAGGUUAAGGCUGACACACCAGGAAGACAGUGGAGGUUAAGGCUGACACACCAGGAAGACAGUGGAGGUUAAGGCUGAGACACCAGGAAGACAGUGGAGGUUAAGGCUGACACACCAGGAAGACAGUGGAGGUUAAGGCUGAGACACCGGGAAGACAGUGGAGGUUAAGGCUGACACACCGGGAAGACAGUGGAGGUUAAGGCUGAGACACCGGGAAGACAGUGGAGGUUAAGGCUGACACACCGGGAAGACAGUGGAGGUUAAGGCUGAGACACCGGGAAGACAGUGGAGGUUAAGGCUGACACACCGGGAAGACAGUGGAGGUUAAGGCUGAGACACCAGGAAGACAGUGGAGGUUAAGGCUGAGACACCGGGAAGACAGUGGAGGUUAAGGCUGAGACACCAGGAAGACAGUGGAGGUUAAGGCUGAGACACCAGGAAGACAGUGGAGGUUAAGGCUGAGACACCGGGAAGACAGUGGAGGUUAAGGCUGAGACACCGGGAAGACAGUGGAGGUUAAGGCUGACACACCAGGAAGACAGUGGAGGUUAAGGCUGACACACCAGGAAGACAGUGGAGGUUAAGGCUGACACACCAGGAAGACGUGGAGGUUGAGGAGAGAGAUCUCUUACUGUCCCGUGGUGGGAUGGAGAUCUCUUACUGUCCCGUGGUGGGAUGGAGAUCUCUUACUGUCCCGCGGUGGGAUGGAGAUCUCUUACUGUCCCGCGGUGGGAUGGAGAUCUCUUACUGUCCCGCGGUGUGAUGGAGAUCUCUUACUGUCCCGCGGUGUGAUGGAGAUCUCUUACUGUC
Oncorhynchus keta (chum salmon) is the source of this 1412-nucleotide long non-coding RNA. RefSeq lists it as uncharacterized. Lineage: Eukaryota; Metazoa; Chordata; Actinopteri; Salmoniformes; Salmonidae. The record is from RefSeq and is a predicted model, not a curated record. The transcript has 4 exons.